UACGUAGGGGGCAAGCGUUAUCCGGAAUUAUUGGGCGUAAAGCGCGCGCAGGUGGUUUCUUAAGUCUGAUGUGAAAGCCCACGGCUCAACCGUGGAGGGUCAUUGGAAACUGGGAGACUUGAGUGCAGAAGAGGAAAGUGGAAUUCCAUGUGUAGCGGUGAAAUGCGUAGAGAUAUGGAGGAACACCAGUGGCGAAGGCGACUGUCUGGUCUGUAACUGACACUGAGGCGCGAAAGCGUGGGGAGCAAACAGG
This 253-nucleotide ribosomal RNA is filed under the name uncultured bacterium. Its description in RNAcentral is "partial 16S ribosomal RNA". It matches the Rfam family "Bacterial small subunit ribosomal RNA", at positions 524 to 776 of the family's 1533-position model. The record is from RNAcentral.